Molecule: non-coding RNA, 1246 nt
Organism: Urocitellus parryii (Arctic ground squirrel)
Lineage: Eukaryota; Metazoa; Chordata; Mammalia; Rodentia; Sciuridae
Source: RefSeq, a predicted model, not a curated record
GCUGGGCCGGCGGCGGCGGCGGUACGAGGCGCGCGCUCGGGGUCCCGGUCGCGAGGAGGAGGAGGAUGUGGCGCGCGGAGGGGAAAUGGCUGCCGAAAACAAGCCGGAAGAGCGUUUCCCAAAGUGUAUUCUGCGGAACUAGCACCUACUGUGUUCUCAACACCGUGCCACCUAUAGAAGAUGAUCAUGGGAACAGCAAUAGUAGUCAUGUAAAAAUCUUUUUACCGAAAAAGCUGCUUGAAUGUCUGCCGAAAUGUUCAAGUUUACCAAAAGAGAGGCACCGUUGGAACACUAAUGAGAGAUCAUGAUGCAGCCGUCCUUUUGGAUUUCUUUUUAAUAAUGUGUGACCCUUCACCUUUGAUCCCCUGACCUGCAUUACCUUGUGGCUCGGCUCAUGAUCUCCAGGAGCUGCAAACAACCCAGAUGUCAUUCAACUGGUGAAUGAAAAAGCACCUGCAUUGAGAUACUACUCAGCAGUAGAAAGGAACGAACCAGUACAGCAUGGGUGUAUCUCGAACACCCCAUGCACAGUAAAAAGAAAUCAGAAAACACUGAAAAGUGUCUGCUUCCAWACAUAUGACAUUCUUCAAAAGGCCAAACCAAGAUGGAAAGAAAAUGGGUUGGUGGUUGCCAGGGCCUGGGGUGAGGAUGAGUUAACCAACAAAGGGCACAAGGAACUUUCUGGGGUUGGUGGAAAUGUUCUAUAUCUUGGUUGUGGUAGUGGGUACACAAAUUAUGAAUUUUUGAAUGUGUGGAUCUAAGCAGUUUGAACAGGGGACUCAAARGAAGAUUCCACAGAUGACAUGGAAGGUGGGGAGGUGCUCCACAUCUUCACUUGUCAGGGAACUGCAGAUUGAAACCACAGUGAGGUGCACUCUGUUAGAAAGUCUGAGAUGAGCAAGACCACCAGCAUUGAACAUCAACUAGACCUUGGCGCAGCGUAGCCCUCAUAGGCACUGGUGGAUGUUGAGUGGUGCAGCCUCUUUGGAGGUCUGUUGUCCAUUUCCCCCCUAUAAUUAAACGUGAUCUACGCUAUGAUCCAGUAAUCCUACUUUUAAUUUACCAUAGAGAAAUGAAAAUAUAUGUUCACAAAAUGACUUAUUAGAAUGUGUAUAUGAAGCCCCAAACUGGGAACAGCCCAAAUGUCCAUCAACUGAAAAGUUAAUAAAAAGAAUGAAUGACAAAUAAAACCAUAUGGAUGGAGCUCAAAGAAGUACAUAUUGUGUGAGUGCAUUUAGUAGAAUCC